GGUUAAGCGACCAAGCGUACACGGUGGAUGCCCUGGCAGUCAGAGGCGAUGAAGGACGUGCUAAUCUGCGAAAAGCGCCGGCGAGGUGAUAUGAACCCUUGACCCGGCGAUGUCCGAAUGGGGAAACCCAGUGUGACUCGUCACACUAUCAUUAACUGAAUCCAUAGGUUAAUGAGGCGAACCGGGGGAACUGAAACAUCUAAGUACCCCGAGGAAAAGAAAUCAACCGAGAUUCCCCCAGUAGCGGCGAGCGAACGGGGAGGAGCCCAGAGCCUGAAUCAGCAGGUGUGUUAGUGGAAGUGUCUGGAAAGGCACGCGAUACAGGGUGAGAGCCCCGUACACGAAAAUGCACCUGCUGUGAGCUCGAUGAGUAGGGCGGGACACGUGGUAUCCUGUCUGAAUAUGGGGGGACCAUCCUCCAAGGCUAAAUACUCCUGACUGACCGAUAGUGAACCAGUACCGUGAGGGAAAGGCGAAAAGAACCCCGGCGAGGGGAGUGAAAAAGAACCUGAAACCGUGUACGUACAAGCAGUGGGAGCACCCUUUGGGGUGUGACUGCGUACCUUUUGUAUAAUGGGUCAGCGACUUAUAUUCUGUAGCAAGGUUAACCGUAUAGGGGAGCCGGAGGGAAACCGAGUCUUAAUUGGGCGUUAAGUUGCAGGGUAUAGACCCGAAACCCGGUGAUCUAGCCAUGGGCAGGUUGAAGGUUGGGUAACACUAACUGGAGGACCGAACCGACUAAUGUUGAAAAAUUAGCGGAUGACCUGUGGCUGGGGGUGAAAGGCCAAUCAAACCGGGAGAUAGCUGGUUCUCCCCGAAAGCUAUUUAGGUAGCGCCUCGUGAAUUCAUCUCCGGGGGUAGAGCACUGUUUCGGCUAGGGGGCCAUCCCGGCUUACCAACCCGAUGCAAACUGCGAAUACCGGAGAAUGUUAUCACGGGAGACACACGGCGGGUGCUAACGUCCGUCGUGAAGAGGGAAACAACCCAGACCGCCAGCUAAGGUCCCAAAGUCAUGGUUAAGUGGGAAACGAUGUGGGAAGGCCCAGACAGCCAGGAUGUUGGCUUAGAAGCAGCCAUCAUUUAAAGAAAGCGUAAUAGCUCACUGGUCGAGUCGGCCUGCGCGGAAGAUGUAACGGGGCUAAACCAUGCACCGAAGCUGCGGCAGCGGCACGCAAGUGUUGUUGGGUAGGGGAGCGUUCUGUAAGCCGCUGAAGGUGUGCUGUGAGGCAUGCUGGAGGUAUCAGAAGUGCGAAUGCUGACAUAAGUAACGAUAAAGCGGGUGAAAAGCCCGCUCGCCGGAAGACCAAGGGUUCCUGUCCAACGUUAAUCGGGGCAGGGUGAGUCGACCCCUAAGGCGAGGCCGAAAGGCGUAGUCGAUGGGAAACGGGUUAAUAUUCCCGUACUUGGUGUUACUGCGAAGGGGGGACGGAGAAGGCUAUGUUGGCCGGGCGACGGUUGUCCCGGUUUAAGCGUGUAGGCUGGUUUUCCAGGCAAAUCCGGAAAAUCAAGGCUGAGGCGUGACGACGAGGCACCACGGUGCUGAAGCAACAAAUGCCCUGCUUCCAGGAAAAGCCUCUAAGCGUCAGGUAACAUCAAAUCGUACCCCAAACCGACACAGGUGGUCAGGUAGAGAAUACCAAGGCGCUUGAGAGAACUCGGGUGAAGGAACUAGGCAAAAUGGUGCCGUAACUUCGGGAGAAGGCACGCUGACAUGUAGGUGAAGCGGUUUACCCGUGGAGCUGAAGUCAGUCGAAGAUACCAGCUGGCUGCAACUGUUUAUUAAAAACACAGCACUGUGCAAACACGAAAGUGGACGUAUACGGUGUGACGCCUGCCCGGUGCCGGAAGGUUAAUUGAUGGGGUCAGCGCAAGCGAAGCUCCUGAUCGAAGCCCCGGUAAACGGCGGCCGUAACUAUAACGGUCCUAAGGUAGCGAAAUUCCUUGUCGGGUAAGUUCCGACCUGCACGAAUGGCGUAAUGAUGGCCAGGCUGUCUCCACCCGAGACUCAGUGAAAUUGAACUCGCUGUGAAGAUGCAGUGUACCCGCGGCAAGACGGAAAGACCCCGUGAACCUUUACUAUAGCUUGACACUGAACACUGGUCCUUGAUGUGCAGGAUAGGUGGGAGGCUUUGAAGCGUGGACGCCAGUCUGCGUGGAGCCGUCCUUGAAAUACCACCCUUUAAUGGCUGGUGUUCUAACGUGGGCCCCUGACCGGGGUUGCGGACAGUGUCUGGUGGGUAGUUUGACUGGGGCGGUCUCCUCCCAAAGAGUAACGGAGGAGCACGAAGGUUGGCUAAUCCUGGUCGGACAUCAGGAGGUUAGUGCAAUGGCAUAAGCCAGCUUGACUGCGAGCGUGACGGCGCGAGCAGGUGCGAAAGCAGGUCAUAGUGAUCCGGUGGUUCUGAAUGGAAGGGCCAUCGCUCAACGGAUAAAAGGUACUCCGGGGAUAACAGGCUGAUACCGCCCAAGAGUUCAUAUCGACGGCGGUGUUUGGCACCUCGAUGUCGGCUCAUCACAUCCUGGGGCUGAAGUAGGUCCCAAGGGUAUGGCUGUUCGCCAUUUAAAGUGGUACGCGAGCUGGGUUUAGAACGUCGUGAGACAGUUCGGUCCCUAUCUGCCGUGGGCGCUGGAAGAUUGAGGGGGGCUGCUCCUAGUACGAGAGGACCGGAGUGGACGCAUCACUGGUGUUCGGGUUGUCAUGCCAAUGGCACUGCCCGGUAGCUAAAUGCGGAAGAGAUAAGUGCUGAAAGCAUCUAAGCACGAAACUUGCCCCGAGAUGAAUCUUCCCUGAGACUUUAAGUCUCCUGAAGGAACGUUGAAGACGACGACGUUGAUAGGCCGGGUGUGUAAGCGCAGCGAUGCGUUGAGCUAACCGGUACUAAUGAACCGUGAGGCUUAACCUU
This 2903-nucleotide ribosomal RNA is filed under the name Salmonella bongori N268-08. Its description in RNAcentral is "bacterial LSU rRNA". It matches the Rfam family "Bacterial large subunit ribosomal RNA". Lineage: Bacteria; Pseudomonadati; Pseudomonadota; Gammaproteobacteria; Enterobacterales; Enterobacteriaceae. The record is from RNAcentral.